CAGCCGCCGCGGGAAAACGUAGGGCGCAAGCGUUAUCCGGAAUUAUUGGGCGUAAAGAGCUCGUAGGCGGUUUGUCGCGUCUGCCGUGAAAGUCCGGGGCUCAACCCCGGAUCUGCGGUGGGUACGGGCAGACUAGAGUGAUGUAGGGGAGACUGGAAUUCCUGGUGUAGCGGUGAAAUGCGCAGAUAUCAGGAGGAACACCGAUGGCGAAGGCAGGUCUCUGGGCAUUAACUGACGCUGAGGUACGAAAGCAUGGGGAGCAAACAGGAUUAGAUACCCCGGUAGUCCCUGUCUCUUAUAC
RNAcentral lists this ribosomal RNA (301 nucleotides) under uncultured bacterium. Its description in RNAcentral is "partial 16S ribosomal RNA". It matches the Rfam family "Bacterial small subunit ribosomal RNA", at positions 509 to 807 of the family's 1533-position model. The record is from RNAcentral.